GGGGAAUUUUGGACAAUGGGCGCAAGCCUGAUCCAGCAAUGCCGCGUGCAGGAAGAAGGCCUUCGGGUUGUAAACUGCUUUUGUACGGAACGAAACGGUCUGGGUUAAUACCUCGGGCUAAUGACGGUACCGUAAGAAUAAGCACCGGCUAACUACGUGCCAGCAGCCGCGGUAAUACGUAGGGUGCAAGCGUUAAUCGGAAUUACUGGGCGUAAAGCGUGCGCAGGCGGUUUUGUAAGACAGGCGUGAAAUCCCCGGGCUCAACCUGGGAAUUGCGCUUGUGACUGCAAAGCUGGAGUGCGGCAGAGGGGGAUGGAAUUCCGCGUGUAGCAGUGAAAUGUGUAGAGAUGUGGAGGAACACCGAUGGCGAAGGCAGCCCCCUGGGUUAACACUGACGCCCAUGCACGAAAGCGUGGGUAGCAAAC
RNAcentral lists this ribosomal RNA (425 nucleotides) under uncultured bacterium. RNAcentral describes it as "bacterial SSU rRNA". It matches the Rfam family "Bacterial small subunit ribosomal RNA", at positions 356 to 773 of the family's 1533-position model. The record is from RNAcentral.